CUCCCCGUGGUAGUAGCUAGCGCGGUGCCUCUGCAUUCGCCCUCCCGGUGGAGGCGGCGCAGCGGCAACCCCAACGACGCGACGCCCUGUCGGAGCGGAAGCGGACAACGCCCGUGGCUGUGCCGCCGUGUCCGUGCGUUCUGCGGCGCGCGGGGCCCAUUUUUAGGAACCAAAUCGGCAGUGAAUCGCGCAGCCGCGGCGAGGGUGGCAAGCUGCUGAGUGGUUAGCUCCGCCGCUCCGGCGCGACCUUCCGUCGUUGAGCGGCUUCUAAUGCGGCUGGUGAAAGCUUGUGGAGCUGAGCUCAAGGGAUUCCAAUUGGAGCAGGGCCGUCGGUCGGAACUCGGAAGCCGCCAUCGCCGCCGUUCGACGGCGGCGUGAGGGGUUCCGGCGUGACUGAAGAUCAGGGGCGCCGGUGGGCCGAUUGGUGUCCUCGAGCCUCUCGUCUCCAUCGUCGUCCGCUGGAGCCGGUGAAGAUCAGGAGAUGCCGAAGGGAUUCUGGCCCGCCGAACCGGGACGUCCGUCGGUGUCGGAAGGCCUCAUCACCGCCGGGUUCCGGCCGCCGGCGAGGCGGCGAGAGGAGGGAGAACGAGCGGUAUCUCAUUUGCUUAAACCAUCCUUACUAUUAAUCGCGAUCCAUUUUAAAGGGUUUUACGUAAAAUAGUCAGCGGUAUUUUUAAAUAACUCCUAAUUUGGAUAGGAUUAAUAGUCACGAUCCGGUAUUUUGCAUAAUACCCCCUAAUCUGAUUCCGGUACUUUUCGAACCCGUCCUCGUUCUCGUCCGCAAUGUCAUCCCCUUCCCUCCCGUCGACGGCGCCGUGGCUUCGCCGGCGAUCUGCGGUAAGCUGGGGCACACGUACCGCCCAGCCGCACCUAGCUGCCUCCCUCGUACUCAUCCUCCUGCACCCUUCUCCGUCCCCAACGAGGGGUCCCUGAUGUACGCGGCGGCCCACCGGAUGAUCACUCUAUCGGCGCAGAGCUUCUCCGAAUCUGCCGCCGCCGCCGCCAUCCUGGGAGCGGCCGAGUGGGUCCCUCGUUCGAUCUCCCCCGACGAACAAGGAUGGAACUCCGGGAAGAAAUUUGUAUUUUUGGCACCUCAACACGUGGCUUCGCAUAUUUGACAUUGACUUCGCAAAAUUGACACUCACCACAUUAACACAUUGAUUUACUUGGCAUAUGCCUCUUUAAUGAUUUUAUUUUCUCUUUUUCUAUUUACUAGACGGUGAAAAGACUAAACUACCCUUGAUUUAUGUAGGUACCGCCCAGCACGUCGUAUGUGCCGCCGCCCGCUUGCCUCGCUCGUACGUUUGCGCUCGACGCUGUAAGAUUGGCUUCGCAAAGUUGACACUCACAACAUUGACACAUAUUAUGCCUCUUUAAUAAUUUUAUUUCCUCCUUUUCUAUUUACUGGAUUGGGAAAAGACUAAGGUGUUUGGAUACGAGGUGUUAAACUUUAACAGUGUCACAUCAAAUGUUCGGAUGCUAAUUAGGAGAACUAAAUAUGAGCUAAUUAUAAAACUAAUUGCAGAACCCUAUGCUAAUUCGCGAGACGAAUCUAUUAAGCCUAAUUAAUCCAUCAUUAGCAAAUGGUUACUGUAGCACCACAUUGUCAAAUCAUGUACUAAUUAGGCUUAAUAGAUUCGUCUCGCGAAUUACACUCCAUCUAUGCAAUUAGUUUUGUAAUUAACCUAUGUUUAAUACUCCUAAUUAGCAUUCAAACAUCCGAUGUGACGGGUGUUAAACUUUAACACCGGUGAGCCAAACAGGCCCUAAACUACAACCCUCAAUUUUCUCAGUUUUAUUAACGCGGGCUUGCGCACGGCGCACGGUGUCGACAUCAUUGUCCUUGGCGGCAUAGCGCUGGCGGGACGUCUCAAAGACGAGGAUGUACGGGAGGCCCUUGGAUUUGUAGAGCUUGUGGUUGUCCACGAGCUCGAUCAGCUUCAGCAGCUCGACCACAAGCUUAUGGGUAUCGUCCAGCACGAUGUUAUGAACAAGGUUGUCAGUGCGUCGUGAACAAGGUUGCCAGGGAUGACGACAUCGACGCCGUGCGCCGUGCGCAAACGAGCGAGGCGGCGAGCGGCGGCACGUACGAGUGAGGCGGGCGGGCAGCGGCGCGUCCAACGUUCUGAGCGGUACGUACAUGAAAGCAAGGGUAGUUUAAUCCUUUCACAAUCGGAGGAAAUAAAAUUAUUAAAGAGAUAUAAUGUCAAGUAAAUUAACGUGUCAGUGGUUAUUAAAUUUGGAAGUCUACUUUUGAAGUGUUAAAUAUGCGAAACCACGAGCGUCAAAAAUACAAAUUUCUCAACUCUGGCGAGGUAGAAGAAGAAGAGCGCGCACGAAGCGAAGCGCCACACGGGCCGGCUAGGCCGUCCAAAGGCCAAAGCCCGCCAGCACCGCCGCCCGUUGAGAGAGAGACAAGGGCCGGCCGUGUUGAAAGCGAGAUGGGCUGUAUCAUUCAGGCAUGCCUAUGUGGCUAACUGGCCAUGUCCCGUUUUCGUCAAGAAAAAAACAUAAACAAGCCUGCCGUUUCAUGCCUCUUUUUUUAACGCACCAUUUCAUGCCUUAGAAGCAUCACCCAACAGUUGCCAUCGAAGCAUCACCCAGCAGUUGCCAUCAUCUUCAUAGGAUCGCAGGAAGCGAUUUUCCAUUCAUCUACCAUGUCCUUUUCGUGACUCCUAUCCCUGGAAGCAAAAUGUACCCGGAUGGACGAAGCUGCAAGGCAGGUGUUAUCUGAUAUGGACCUGAGCCCUUGUUUGUUUGGAAUCUGUCAGAGUAUCAGAGUGUUGAACGUUGAACUGAUGUACUCUGAUAAACCUUUUUCUCUUCACUGACUUGGCCCACUGGCACACAACAUAUCAAAUGUCAUCGUCUACAAUGGCUGCACGGUGCUAAGAACACACGGCUACUUUAGUUGCGUAGAAUAUAGGCCUUGUUUAGUUAGGGAAUUUGGGAGGUGCCAAAUUACUGUUACAGCACUGUAGCACACUGUAGCGUUUCGUUUGUAUUUGUGAAUUAUUGUCCAAAUAUUGACUAAUUAGGCUCAAAAGAUUCGUCUCGCAAAGUACAACAAAACUGUGCAAUUAGUUUUUAAUUUCAUCUACAUUUAGUACUCCAUGCAUGUACCGCAAGUUUGAUGUGAUGGGGAAUCUUCUUUUUGCAUAGUGUCAAAGUUGGGAGUAACUAAACAUGUCCAUAGUUUGCCCCUUCUGUUUACACGAUCUUGCUUCACGAGCAGUGGCCACCCUGAAUCAACGACUAUCAAAGCAGUUGCUUCCAAGAACCUUUGAAACAAGACACUGAAAGACCGAAGAGUAUAUUGCCAGAUACUGAACGACUGAAGAGCGUGCCUGACAGCUUGAUCUCCAUUAUUUCAGGUCAAAGGCUCUCCCAGUCUCCCUUAUCAGUAACUCACAGAUAAGUGGAUACUGUGAAGAGCGAAAGACUGAUUAGAGGAGCAACAAGAAACAGUCACGAGAACAGCAAAAGGGACUACUUGUAACAUCAGACUGCCUGCCAUUGCACAUCAAACAUUUACAGGAGUGCAUCCUAUACUGGAGAGUAUGGGACAGGAACUCCACCUUCACCCUCUUCCAUUUCUUUAGGGGUUCUCUAGACACACUGAAGACUGAACUGAACACAACUUAGAGAGCAGCAGCAGUAAACAGCAGCUGCAUUUUUGUUCUCUUUUUGGGUCAUUUUUUACUUGCUUGCUAUACAAAAGGACACUUCUUCUACUUCUACUACUUCCAGUUACUAGACUUGAACUUGAAAGACCCAGACCACAACGGCAGCAGCCAGGAGCAGGAGCAAACGCUGCAAGAGGGCACAACAGCCUUGCUCGGUUACUCGUCAGGAUGACGAGCCUAGCGGGGCUGGUGGAUCACACGGGGGGCGCUGCUGCCCUUUGGGCUGCCGGCGUACUUGGUCGGCUUCUCGGCGUUCCUGGGCUUCUCCCGGAACCCGCGCGGCGCGUCGCCGCCCUUCGGGGAGGUCAGGUUCAGCGCCUUGAGCACCUCGUCUGCACACAGAAGGCACAUGCGGGUAUGCAGGUGAGCUCACCGCGACUCAUGUAUCGAAAUCGAAGGCAAGCCGCAACGAGAGGAGAGAGAGAGAGAGAGAGAGAGAGAGAGAGAGAGAGAGAGAGAGAGAGAGAGAGAGAGAGAUCCGUACCGGUCUUGAGGUUGGCGGCGGGCGCGGGCUGCUGCGGGGCCUCGACGGCGGCGGGGGCGUGCUCCGGCAGGUCGCCGUAGAAGAGGUCCUCGUCGUCGUCCAGGGCGUCGGGCAGGAGGCCGGCCGCGUCGAGCUCCUCGGCCAUCUCGUCGAGCUGGGUGUGCUCCCGGGACCAGUGGUCGCGGAACCAGGCGGUGGUGGUGACGAGGUCCCACCACUGCGGCGAGAAGUCCUCCACCUGCAGCAGCGCCGCCGGGAUGAAGAGCGGCGCGUCCGGGUUCAGCGACGAGGAGGAGACCGCCACGGCGCUCAUGGCUCACCCUCCUGCUCCUUCCUGAUCGCACCAGAACAAAACCAGAUCCAAAUCAGAUCGCAGCGAGCGCCCGAAACCACAGCUAGAAAUCAAGAGCAAGCGGCGUCAAAUCCCCGGCACGAGAAAGCGAGAGGAGGAAAACAAAAUCCGAGAGAUUUCUAGAUCGAAGGAAAACCGCAGAUCUAGAACGAGGAGGAUCGUAACAGACGGCGAUCUAGGCACGAACGCGACGCAAUGCUACAGAUCGGAGGAAGGCGGGCGGGAUCGCUCGUCCCCGGAGCUCACCUCUCGCUUCCUUGAUGGAUGGAUCUGCCGGCGCGGGGAGGGUCUCGGCAACGGCAACGGACGGGAAGGGGAAC
Molecule: long non-coding RNA, 4842 nt
Filed under: Setaria italica (foxtail millet)
Lineage: Eukaryota; Viridiplantae; Streptophyta; Magnoliopsida; Poales; Poaceae
Description: long non-coding RNA (SITA_LNC007186)
Source: RNAcentral